AUUCGAACGAAUGAUAAAGGGGGCUAAGUUUCAUUAAGUUGGUGCAUAUAGUCGCGAUUUGUGGCGCUUGAAAACUAGUCGGUUACUUUUGCUGAAAUUUGACAUGUAUAUGGACAAGAAUGCGAUCUACCUGUUGGCGUAGGCGUUAUACCUAGGAAAAAACUAGUUUUCGAGUAUUUUGCGUUUAAAUAUUUUUAUGGGAAAGGGCACGCGCGCGUGACGUCAUGAAAAGCGCUUAGGCUAGCUUCCAUCUUGCUACGAAACAAAGAAACUGACGUUACGCGUUAUUAAUUUAAUAUAAAGUUAGGCGUUUAAUCGAUAAACAAAGACGUAAUAAUUGUGUUUGAAUAUCAAUCGGAAGUACACAUGCAUGUCUUUUGUGCACAGUGUGGUUUUUUAAUAAACAUGACAUAAAUCUAUGUGUUAUUCAACGUAUUGUGUGCGACGAGUUGAAGAGAGGUUUACACGGCUAGGCUUUCCGAGAUAAAUCGUAACGAAAUAGCAGACACCACACAGCGUCUCAUCUGAUUCUACGCUGUUUGCCAAGGCCGAUACUAUAAUGAAUGGAAAUGCACAAACUCAGUAACUGGCAAGCAUA
Dreissena polymorpha is the source of this 598-nucleotide long non-coding RNA. RefSeq lists it as uncharacterized. The transcript has 2 exons. Lineage: Eukaryota; Metazoa; Mollusca; Bivalvia; Myida; Dreissenidae. The record is from RefSeq and is a predicted model, not a curated record.